ACUCGCCCAGCUGGCUGCCCGGCCCGCGGCGGCUCCACAAACAGCACCUCCAGGGCAGGGCGGGGGCGGGGGCCGGCUGGACCAGCCCGGAGGCACUGAAAGGUGGCGUGACGGCGAGUUCCCUUCCCCUGCCGGUGGUUUACAUAAGAGGGAGGCGAUGGCGAGGGGGCAACGCGAGGGGCUGGUGCUGCCGCCCACCGCCGGGCGCCUUGGCUGGGGCUGCUCUUGACAGAAGGGAUGCGCGCUGUCAGCGCGGGGGGCCUGGCGCGCGUGCAAGAGUCUGUGUGUGCACUGAGAACACAGAAAAAAGAAGCGUGGCUGCACUCGGCUGGCCGGCUCCGUCAGUGCCAGGUCCCUUCAAGCUGGCGCCGCAGGGACCCGGCGGAGGGAGAGGUGAGGGCGCCGCAGGGGCGGAGAUGGAUGCUUGCUGCGGACGACCACGGGGCCAAGGCUCACAAACAAAACCCACGGCAAACUGCCGGCAGCCCAGCCCAGGAAGGUGGCAGCCACUUGGCAGAGGAGGCACGGAGGACCCGGCUGGGAGCAGACGGAUGGGAGCGGUGGCCAGCAUGUCACAGCAGGAAGGAUGACUUCUCCAGGCCCUGCCCUCCUGCCAAGAACAGGAUAUCUGGACAGUGAGGACCUUGGAGUGUUGGGGGCACUCCCUGGGGUUUCCAUUUUGGCCCCCAGAUGCUCUGGGGAUGGAGGGUGCAGAAGAUCCCAGCUGGAGCCAUCCCUCCACUGCCCGUCCUGCUGAUGGCCCCGAGCAAGUCAGUGUCACGGACUCCUAGGCCCCAGAAAGACAGCCUCAUGGCGCUCUCAGCCUGGGCUUCAGUCCCCACCUGGCAAGCGGCUGUGGCCCUGCCUGCACAUGUGGCUUUAGUGGAAGUGGGUGCGUCGGAGUCCUGAGAAAGCCCAUCCCAGCAGGCCAGUUCCUGGGUGGGGCCCUCAGACGCAGACGGCGUCCUUGCCUCCUCCACUCUGUGGAGCUGGCCGACGCCUGCCACCUGUC
RNAcentral lists this long non-coding RNA (1012 nucleotides) under Sus scrofa (pig). Its description in RNAcentral is "lncRNA (ENSSSCG00025022590.1, ENSSSCG00035035592.1, ENSSSCG00070007811.1)". Lineage: Eukaryota; Metazoa; Chordata; Mammalia; Artiodactyla; Suidae. The record is from RNAcentral.